CGCAAAGAUUUAACGCCCCUGUAGUCAUGACGUUCCUUUGAAUCCUUUGCUUCCAGAGAGUUCAGAGGUCGAAGCGCCGGCGAAGAUGUCGCACUUUGGAAGAUCUGGUCCUCCAGACAUUAGAGACACAUACUCUCUUCUAGUUCUCAACAUCACUUUUCGUACCACCGCUGAUGACUUGUAUCCUCUCUUCGAUAAGUAUGGAAAA
Ipomoea triloba (trilobed morning glory) is the source of this 208-nucleotide long non-coding RNA. RefSeq lists it as uncharacterized. Lineage: Eukaryota; Viridiplantae; Streptophyta; Magnoliopsida; Solanales; Convolvulaceae. The record is from RefSeq and is a predicted model, not a curated record. The transcript has 2 exons.